Molecule: ribosomal RNA, 206 nt
Filed under: uncultured bacterium
Lineage: Bacteria
Description: partial 16S ribosomal RNA
Rfam family: Bacterial small subunit ribosomal RNA
Source: RNAcentral
AGCGCAGGUGGUUUAUUAAGUCUGGUGUAAAAGGCAGUGGCUCAACCAUUGUAUGCAUUGGAAACUGGUAGACUUGAGUGCAGGAGAGGUAAGCGGAAUUCCUAGUGUAGCGGUGAAAUGCGUAGAUAUUAGGAGGAACACCAGUGGCGAAGGCGGCUUACUGGACGGUAACUGACGUUGAGGCUCGAAAGCGUGGGGAGCAAACA